GAUGAAGAACGUAGCGAAAUGCGAUAAGUAAUGUGAAUUGCAGAAUUCAGUGAAUCAUCGAAUCUUUGAACGCACAUUGCGCCCGCCAGUAUUCUGGCGGGCAUGCCUGUUCGAGCGUCAUUUCAACCAUCAAGCCCCAGGCUUGUGUUGGGGACCUGCGGCUGCCGCAGGCCCUGAAAACCAGUGGCGGGCUCGCUGUCACACCGGGCGUAGUAGAUUUUAUCUCGCUCAGGGCGUGCUGCGGGUUCCGGCCGUUAAAAAGCCUUUUUUACCCAAGGUUGACAUCGGAUCAGGUAGGAAGACCCGCUGAACUUAAGCAUAUCAAUAAGCGGAGGA
RNAcentral lists this unclassified non-coding RNA (336 nucleotides) under soil metagenome. Its description in RNAcentral is "partial contains 5.8S ribosomal RNA, internal transcribed spacer 2, and large subunit ribosomal RNA". The stretch from base 1 to 120 matches the Rfam family "5.8S ribosomal RNA", at positions 35 to 154 of the family's 154-position model. The record is from RNAcentral.